Molecule: long non-coding RNA, 1258 nt
Organism: Vigna radiata var. radiata (mung bean)
Lineage: Eukaryota; Viridiplantae; Streptophyta; Magnoliopsida; Fabales; Fabaceae
Exons: 2
Source: RefSeq, a predicted model, not a curated record
UAAGAAUAGGGUACAAAGAUUAAAACCAGGGGUGUUGAAUAAAAUUGAAGCUCUUCUGGUUUUAGCCCAUGCCUUUCCUCUUCCAACUUUAUUAUUUGCCAGGGGUGCAAGAUAGGGUGCAGCACGAAAUUUCUUGGUCUAGGCCCAAAGGGUGCAUCAGCAAUGUUGGAGGUGGCAUAUGGUAGUUGUUGGUCAGGCCCAAGGUCUCCUUUUUUGUUUGCAGAAAUGGCACGGGAGUGUGCAUAGCAUUACGCGUGGUGGCCAGUAGAGAGAAAGCGGCCCAAUAGGCCCAAGACCCUUUGCUCCAAAUCAGAACAAUAGGGGUUCUGCCAAUUUGCUCUCAUUUGCGUGAGAAGACCGGGGUCAUCUUCUUCUCUGAACAAAGGAAGCUAGAGAUCUCACCUCCGCCGCUCACAGCCACACCUUUACCCGAGCGGCCAUUGCCAAUCGUCGUCCCCGGCGUCGCCAGUGACGACACCCACCGCUGGUCACAACACCAAGCCUCCUUUCCUCCCCUUCUCUUCUUCACACGCAAGAGGGAAACAACCUCGGUUCCUAUGUCGCACUCCCAUCGCCAGCCACCGCAAGGGUCGCCGCUCUCCGUUGAGCCUGAUGCCCGCGCCGCCAUCAUCUCUUCGACCAAGUCGACGAUCGCCAUGCCUUUCGCCACCUUAUCAGUCAUCUCUUUUGCUUCUCUUCUUCACACGCGGCCUGAAUUUGCCACCGGUACGCGCGGUCGUUGCCGGCAAAAUCCCUGGCUCUGGCACCCACGACUUGGGGUGCCAACACUGACGCUAAGACCUCCUCUUCUCUUUCGAAUUAGGCUUGCUUUCUAACCGAUCCACCACUGGCAGAUGCAACUUCCUGCUGUUAUUGUUGAUUACCAAUACUAGACCACGACGCAGUGGCUGAAGAUAGUAAAAGAGUAACAGGGGCCAGUGAUGGUUGACACAGGGAUAAAGGAAAUCAAAGACUACUUGAGUGUGUUGUUGCUGGAUACCAAACCACUCGAACCAACCUUCUCCUCAAGCGCAAGAAAACGCGACGCCUACUCUCGCGACAGUAGCUGCAGUCUCAGAGACCAUUACCAGCAAGGCUUGUUGUGAACAGAAGAUGUCUAAUCAGUCCAGUACACGCUGCUAUUGGAAGAACAAUUGGGGAGAAAUUUCGAAUCUAAGAUACUGAAUAUGUUUUUUCUGUGAGAGUUCAUAGAGGAAUUGAACAGUGUGUAUGAUAGAGGAAAAACGGGUUUUCGGUC